Molecule: small RNA, 126 nt
Filed under: Marmota monax (woodchuck)
Lineage: Eukaryota; Metazoa; Chordata; Mammalia; Rodentia; Sciuridae
Source: RNAcentral
GCUGGGCAUGGUGGCGCACACCUGUAAUCUCAGGCAGCUUGGGAGGCUGAGGCAGGAGGAUUGCUAGUUCAAAGCCAGACUCAGCAAUAGUGAGGUGCUAAGCAACUCAGUGAGACCCUGUCUCUU